AAUCAACGCUGGCGGCGUGCCUCAGACAUGCAAGUCGAACGAUUAAAGCUCUCUUCGGAGAGUGCAUAGAGUGGCGCACGGGUGAGUAACACGUAAGUAAUCUACCUUCGAGUGGGGAAUAACGUCCGGAAACGGACGCUAAUACCGCAUAAUGCAGCGGCAUCGUAAGAUGACAGUUGUUAAAGAUUUAUCGCUUGAAGAGGAGCUUGCGGCAGAUUAGCUAGUUGGUAAGGUAAUGGCUUACCAAGGCUACGAUCUGUAACCGGUCUUAGAGGACGGUCGGUCACACUGACACUGAAUAACGGGUCAGACUCCUACGGGAGGCAGCAGUCGGGAAUUUUGGGCAAUGGGCGAAAGCCUGACCCAGCAACGCCGCGUGAAGGAUGAAGGCCUUCGGGUUGUAAAACGUACUUUCGUCGCACGACGAUAAUGACGGUACGUGCGAGAAGAAGACUCCGGCUAACUUCGUGCCAGCAGCCGCGGUAA
RNAcentral lists this ribosomal RNA (486 nucleotides) under uncultured bacterium. RNAcentral's name for it is "bacterial SSU rRNA". It matches the Rfam family "Bacterial small subunit ribosomal RNA", at positions 32 to 523 of the family's 1533-position model. The record is from RNAcentral.